Molecule: non-coding RNA, 131 nt
Organism: Equus caballus (horse)
Lineage: Eukaryota; Metazoa; Chordata; Mammalia; Perissodactyla; Equidae
Source: Rfam
AUCUGUGGCCACACCACCCUGAACAUGCCCGAUCUUGUCUGAUCUCGGAAGCUAAGCAGGGUCCGGCCUGGUUAGUACUUGGAUGGGAGAAAUGUCUUCUCAAUACUGAAGAGUUCAGUAGGUCGUUUACU